AGCAUAGGAAAUUGCCUUGAAGUGGGGGAUAGCCCGGAGAAAUCCGGAUUAAUACCGCAUAUGCUCUACGGAGCAAAAUGGGCCUCUGAUUUAAGCUCAUGCUUUGAGAUAUGCCUAUGUCGGAUUAGCUAGUUGGUGGGGUAAAAGCCUACCAAGGCGACGAUCCGUAGCUGGUUUGAGAGGAUGAUCAGCCACACUGGGACUGAGACACGGCCCAG
This 218-nucleotide ribosomal RNA is filed under the name uncultured bacterium. Its description in RNAcentral is "partial 16S ribosomal RNA". It matches the Rfam family "Bacterial small subunit ribosomal RNA", at positions 114 to 334 of the family's 1533-position model. The record is from RNAcentral.